AAAACGGCCCUUUUCAGGGCCAUCAAUUUUGAAUUGUACACAAUU
This 45-nucleotide non-coding RNA is filed under the name Cinara cedri. It matches the Rfam family "Histone 3' UTR stem-loop". Rfam says of the family: The mRNAs of metazoan histone genes lack a poly-A tail. 3' end processing occurs at a site between a highly conserved stem-loop (modelled by this family) and a purine rich region around 20 nts downstream (the histone downstream element, or HDE). Lineage: Eukaryota; Metazoa; Arthropoda; Insecta; Hemiptera; Aphididae. The record is from RNAcentral.